UGCCAGCCGCCGCGGUAAUACGGAGGGGGUUAGCGUUGUUCGGAAUUACUGGGCGUAAAGCGCACGUAGGCGGAUCAGAAAGUAUGGGGUGAAAUCCCAGGGCUCAACCCUGGAACUACCUCAUAAACUCCUGGUCUAGAGUUCGAGAGAGGUGAGUGGAAUUCCGAGUGUAGAGGUGAAAUUCGUAGAUAUUGGGAGGAACACCAAUAGCGAAGGCAACUAGCUGGAACAUUCCUGACCCUCAGGGACGAAAGUGUGGGGAGCGAACAGGAUUAGAUA
RNAcentral lists this ribosomal RNA (279 nucleotides) under uncultured bacterium. RNAcentral describes it as "partial 16S ribosomal RNA". It matches the Rfam family "Bacterial small subunit ribosomal RNA", at positions 506 to 784 of the family's 1533-position model. The record is from RNAcentral.